CUGGCUCAGGAUGAACGCUAGCUACAGGCUAACACAUGCAAGUCGAGGGGCAGCACAAGGAGCAAUCUGAGGUGGCGACCGGCGCACGGGUGAGUAACACGUAUGCAACCUGCCUGUAAGCGGGGAAUAACCCGUUGAAAGACGGACUAAUACCGCAUAAUACUAAAUUACUGCAUGGUAAUUUAUUUAAACAUUUAUGGCUUACAGAUGGGCAUGCGCAUGAUUAGCUAGUUGGAGAGGUAACGGCUCCCCAAGGCAACGAUCAUUAGGGGUUCUGAGAGGAAGGUCCCCCCACACUGGUACUGAGACACGGACCAGACUCCUACGGGAGGCAGCAGUGAGGAAUAUUGGUCAAUGGACGAGAGUCUGAACCAGCCAAGUCGCGUGCAGGAAGAAUUGUCCUAUGGAUUGUAAACUGCUUUUGCAGGGGAAUAAAGUGCAUCACGUGUGAUGUUUUGUAUGUACUCUGCGAAUAAGGAUCGGCUAACUCCGUGCCAGCCGCCGC
RNAcentral lists this ribosomal RNA (505 nucleotides) under uncultured bacterium. Its description in RNAcentral is "bacterial SSU rRNA". It matches the Rfam family "Bacterial small subunit ribosomal RNA", at positions 19 to 518 of the family's 1533-position model. The record is from RNAcentral.